CGGACGGGUGAGUAACGCGUGGGUAACCUGCCUCACACAGGGGGAGUAACAGUUGGAAACGGCUGCUAAUACCGCAUAAGCGCACAGUACCGCAUGGUACAGUGUGAAAAACUCCGGUGGUGUGAGAUGGACCCGCGUCUGAUUAGCUAGUUGGCAGGGCAACGGCCUACCAAGGCGACGAUCAGUAGCCGACCUGAGAGGGUGACCGGCCACAUUGGGACUGAGACACGGCCCAAACUCCUACGGGAGGCAGCAUG
RNAcentral lists this ribosomal RNA (257 nucleotides) under uncultured bacterium. RNAcentral's name for it is "partial 16S ribosomal RNA". It matches the Rfam family "Bacterial small subunit ribosomal RNA", at positions 99 to 353 of the family's 1533-position model. The record is from RNAcentral.